This 413-nucleotide ribosomal RNA is filed under the name uncultured eukaryote. RNAcentral describes it as "SSU rRNA". It matches the Rfam family "Eukaryotic small subunit ribosomal RNA", at positions 592 to 1016 of the family's 1831-position model. The record is from RNAcentral.
UAAUAGCGUAUAUUAAAGUUGUUGCAGUUAAAAGCUCGUAGUCGGAUGUCGGGCUCGGGCAGGCUGUCGGCUUCGGUCGGACGGCAGGCUCGGGUCUUUCUGCCUGAGGAUCCCGUUGCACUUAAUUGUGGGCGUGGGACGCAGGCCGUUUACUUUUGAAAAAUUAGAGUGUUCAAAGCAGGCCUACGCUUGAAUACAUUAGCAUGGAAUAAUGGAAUAGGACUUUGGUGCUAUUUUGUUGGUUUAUGGGACCGAAGUAAUGAUUAACAGGGACAGUUGGGGCCGUUUAUAUUUCGUUGUCAGAGGUGAAAUUCUUGGAUUUUGUUAAAAGACGGACUACUGCGAAAGCAUUUGCCAAGGAUGUUUUCAUUGAUCAAGAACGAAAGUUAGGGGAUCGAAGAUGAUCAGAUACC